GCGGCUGAGAAGCGCGGGCCGGAGUGCGGUGCUAGACCGGCUGGAGGAGGCGGCUCCGUGAAGCCGGUGUGGGCGCAGGUAUGGGUCUUACACCAUGAAGGAAGACGACAGCCCAGGAGGGGAGCCACCACUGUGAUGAACGCUUGCAGGAGCCAUGAGGGGCGGCUUUCCGCGCAGUGUUUGCAGUGAUUUAUGGGAGUCAGGGGCUGCCAGAGAGGGAUGUGGAUGUUAUCAGCUUGGUGGAUUAAAUGCCCAUUUACAUUGUUAUUGACAUAUAAAUUAUCUAUGCCAAGGAGACAGUGAAGGAAAGGGUUUCUGGGGCAGUAAUGUGGUGUGUGCCUCAGGAUAUGGACUUGUCUUUGCCCAAAUUUGUCCUCUGGGCUCUCAUGAAGCGAGUCUCAGACCUAAAGUAAAACCCCAAGACUUAGCUCUCAUGAUGCCGGCAGCAGUCACCCUCAUUGCAAAGGCAGCGGUGCCGAGUGAGGUUCCCGAGUGGAUUUUAAGAAGACAGGAAGACCUUUGAAGAGGUGGUGCUAAUUUCCCUGGCUGGUGGGAACUCUGUCUGGAGGUUGCAUGCAUCACUUUUGUGUGGGUUAUUUUGUUCCUCUGUGGAUUUGGAAGCAUCGCUGAAGGAGAGAGAGGAUUUUAUUUCUGGGAAAUGGAAUCAGUUUCUGAGUCCAGCCAACAGCAGAAGAGAAAGCCCGUUACCCACGGACUGGAAGAUCAAAAGAGGGUAAGUGGCAGAACUUUGUUGGUUGAUUGGAUUAUGGUGCUGGAAUUGCUAAGUAUGAUUCAGAGAGCAUAGGUGGUCAUCAUUGAGUAUGCUUGUCUGUCUUUCUCUCCAGAAGGAGGUAGCAUGGUGGCUUGAGGUUUGCUAUGUCUUGAUGCUGGGUGUCUUGACUUACUGGUAGGCAAGAAGAAAGAUAAAGAAAAGGGAAAAAAAUUCAGUCCUGGCAGCCAAAAAGGCAAAGAUUUAUAACUGUUAACUGAGGAAGUUAACAAAAAAUGUUGGUGUUCUCAAAGUCCAAUAUGAGUUUCUUUGUACUGAAGCUCCCUUCGGGAUUCACACACUCUUAGCACCUUUUGGAAAUGUUGCUCCUGACAGUGGAGGUUUUGUUUGAAUUAUUCUCUGUGUGGUUGGCUGGCUCUUGUGUUUAUGGAUCAAAAACAUAUUCUACUGCACUCUUUGGCCCUAUCUGUGAGAAUGUCACAGCCGUUUAAAAUGGCCUGUUGAGUAUAGGUCAUUUGCUGUCAUUGGCCUGAAAGCUGCAGUCACCCAGGACCUGUCUACCAGUUAAAGUUCAACUUGUCUUUAAAAGGCAGACGCGUUGGGGAGUAGCAUAGAGUGGUUGGUUGUCUAGGAAGAAAGUUGAAGCUGUAUCUUCUCACUCUUGGGGCGUAGCUAGGACCGGGGGGUGGCAAGGGUUAAAUACAGCUCUAGCAGAGUCCAAGCUUGUGUUAAACUGAAAAUAAUUUCUGAUAUUUCCUUUGAAAUGUUGUAGAUGGUAAAAAAAAAAAAAAAAAAAAAA
This 1529-nucleotide long non-coding RNA is filed under the name Macaca mulatta (Rhesus monkey). RNAcentral's name for it is "lncRNA (ENSMMUG00000055682.1)". The record is from RNAcentral. Lineage: Eukaryota; Metazoa; Chordata; Mammalia; Primates; Cercopithecidae.